Molecule: small RNA, 141 nt
Filed under: Bordetella petrii
Lineage: Bacteria; Pseudomonadati; Pseudomonadota; Betaproteobacteria; Burkholderiales; Alcaligenaceae
Description: Manganese sequence
Rfam family: Manganese Mn2+ riboswitch aptamer (yybP-ykoY)
About the family: This RNA was originally discovered in E. coli during a large scale screen and was named SraF. The family was later found to exist upstream of related families of protein genes in many bacteria, including the the yybP and ykoK genes in B. subtilis. The specific functions of these proteins are unknown, but this structured RNA element may be involved in their genetic regulation as a riboswitch.
Source: RNAcentral
GCCACUGUCAUUGGGGAGUAGCCAUCCUUUGAAUCCCCAAAGGAGUCAGCGUCAACAGACUUGGUGGUUUCCGUACCCCAUGGCGCUGACGGUUCCCGCGCGGCGGCCUUGCCUGCCGCCCCGGGCCAGCCAGGCGAGACC